UACAUGUGGGGCAAGCGUUGUUCGGAAUUACUGGGCGUAAAGGGUGCGCAGGCGGCCCCUUAAGGUGGCGGUGAAAGCUCCUGGCUCAACUGGGAGAGGGCCGUGACGACUGGGGGGCUUGAGGCUCGGAGAGGGACGUGGAAUUCCUGGUGUAGCGGUGGAAUGCGCAGAUAUCAGGAAGAACACCCGUGGCGAAGGCGGCUCUCUGGAACGCAACUGACGCUGAGACGCGAAAGCGUGGGGAGCAAACAGG
RNAcentral lists this ribosomal RNA (253 nucleotides) under uncultured bacterium. Its description in RNAcentral is "partial 16S ribosomal RNA". It matches the Rfam family "Bacterial small subunit ribosomal RNA", at positions 524 to 776 of the family's 1533-position model. The record is from RNAcentral.